AGCGAACGCUGGCGGCAGGCCUAACACAUGCAAGUCGAACGAACUCUUCGGAGUUAGUGGCGGACGGGUGAGUAACACGUGGGAACGUGCCUUUAGGUUCGGAAUAACUCAGGGAAACUUGUGCUAAUACCGAAUGUGCCCUUCGGGGGAAAGAUUUAUCGCCUUUAGAGCGGCCCGCGUCUGAUUAGCUUGUUGGUGGGGUAAUGGCCCACCAAGGCUACGAUCAGUAGCUGGUCUGAGAGGAUGACCAGCCACAUUGGGACUGAGACACGGCCCAAACUCCUACGGGAGGCAGCAGUGGGGAAUCUUGCGCAAUGGGCGAAAGCCUGACGCAGCCAUGCCGCGUGUAUGAUGAAGGUCUUAGGAUUGUAAAAUACUUUCACCGGUGAAGAUAAUGACUGUAGCCGGAGAAGAAGCCCCGGCUAACUUCGUGCCAGCAGCCGCGGUAAUACGAAGGGGGCUAGCGUUGCUCGGAAUUACUGGGCGUAAAGGGAGCGUAGGCGGACAUUU
Molecule: ribosomal RNA, 510 nt
Filed under: uncultured bacterium
Lineage: Bacteria
Description: bacterial SSU rRNA
Rfam family: Bacterial small subunit ribosomal RNA
Source: RNAcentral